CCAAUAGCGUAUAUUAAAGUUGUUGCAGUUAAAAAGCUCGUAGUUGAAUUUCGGGAUCAAUACGUCUGUCGUGCCUUUGGUACGUACGGGUGUAAUUGGUUUCUACCUUCUGAGGAUCCUUGAUGUCAUUAAUUUGGUGUCUUGGGGAAUCAGGACUGUUACCUUGAAAAAAUUAGAGUGUUUAAAGCAGGCAUACGCUUGAAUACAUUAGCAUGGAAUAAUGAAAUAGGACGUUCGAUUCUAUUUUGUUGGUUUCUAGGAUCGACGUAAUGAUUAAUAGGGAUAGUUGGGGGCAUUAGUAUUCAAUUGUCAGAGGUGAAAUUCUUGGAUUUAUUGAAGACUAACUACUGCGAAAGCAUUUGCCAAGGAUGUUUUCAUUAAUCAAGAACGAAAGUUAGGGGAUCGAAGACGAUCAGAUACCGUCGUAGUCUUAACCAUAAACUAUGCCGACUAGGGAUCGGAUGAUGUUAAUUUUUUAAUGACUCAUUCGGCGCCUUAC
Molecule: ribosomal RNA, 499 nt
Filed under: uncultured Glomeromycotina
Lineage: Eukaryota; Fungi; Glomeromycota
Description: partial small subunit ribosomal RNA
Rfam family: Eukaryotic small subunit ribosomal RNA
Source: RNAcentral